GAAAUGCGAUACUUGGUGUGAAUUGCAGAAUUCCGCGAGUCAUCAGAUCUUUGAACGCAAAUGGCGCUCGGUUAAAAAAUACCCGAGCAUGUUUGUUUCAGUGUGUUCGGAAUCAUAUAUCUAAAUGCGAUUGAAUUUCAUUAUUCUCUCGUUAAACAUGAAAGCGCUGAAUUGUUCAGUGCCGACCGAAGUAGUCACUUCUUGCAAGUGAUCUCGGUUGCGCAUAACUGAAGAUUCACUUAAAGCGUCUUUUUAAUAUAUUUAUUAUUCUCCACUCCACACCUGAAAUCAAGCAAGAUCACCCGCUGAACUUAA
This 315-nucleotide unclassified non-coding RNA is filed under the name uncultured fungus. Its description in RNAcentral is "sequence contains ITS1". The stretch from base 1 to 106 matches the Rfam family "5.8S ribosomal RNA", at positions 50 to 154 of the family's 154-position model. Lineage: Eukaryota; Fungi. The record is from RNAcentral.